AUGGUCCACGCGUACAUUCCGGUUCUUGCGUGCCGUCCACACCUGGCGGACGACUGCCGGACCUGGCGGGCGACUGCC
This 78-nucleotide small RNA is filed under the name Xanthomonas floridensis. RNAcentral describes it as "sX9 sRNA". It matches the Rfam family "Xanthomonas sRNA sX9". The record is from RNAcentral. Lineage: Bacteria; Pseudomonadati; Pseudomonadota; Gammaproteobacteria; Lysobacterales; Lysobacteraceae.